CCUACGGGAGGCAGCAGUGGGGAAUAUUGCACAAUGGGGGAAAGCCUGAUGCAGCGACGCCGCGUGAGUGAAGAAGUACUUCGGGAUGUAAAGCUCUAUCAGCAGGGAAGAAAAUGACGAUACCUGACUAAGAAGCCCCGGCUAACUACGUGACAGCAGCCGCGGUAAUACGGCGGGGGCAAGCGUUCUUCGGAUCUAAUGGGUGUAAAGGGAGCGUAGACGGGCAGCCAAGUCAGGAGGGAAAGCCUAGGGAUCAACCCUGGGACUGCUUUUGAAACUGGCGGGCUGGAGUGCGGGAGAGGUAAGCGGAAUUCGUGGUGUAGCGGUGAAAUGCGUAGAGAUUAGGAGGAACACCAGUGGCGAAGGCGGCUUACUGGCACGUAACUGACGCUGAGGCGCGAAAGCGUGGGGAGCAAACAGGAUUAGAUACCCGUGUAGUC
Molecule: ribosomal RNA, 440 nt
Filed under: uncultured bacterium
Lineage: Bacteria
Description: partial 16S ribosomal RNA
Rfam family: Bacterial small subunit ribosomal RNA
Source: RNAcentral